RNAcentral lists this ribosomal RNA (484 nucleotides) under uncultured bacterium. RNAcentral's name for it is "partial 16S ribosomal RNA". It matches the Rfam family "Bacterial small subunit ribosomal RNA", at positions 30 to 507 of the family's 1533-position model. The record is from RNAcentral.
AUUGAACGCUGGCGGCAGGCCUAACACAUGCAAGUCGAGCGGAUGAAGGGAGCUUGCUCCUGGAUUCAGCGGCGGACGGGUGAGUAAUGCCUAGGAAUCUGCCUGGUAGUGGGGGAUAACGUCCGGAAACGGGCGCUAAUACCGCAUACGUCCUGAGGGAGAAAGUGGGGGAUCUUCGGACCUCACGCUAUCAGAUGAGCCUAGGUCGGAUUAGCUAGUUGGUGGGGUAAAGGCCUACCAAGGCGACGAUCCGUAACUGGUCUGAGAGGAUGAUCAGUCACACUGGAACUGAGACACGGUCCAGACUCCUACGGGAGGCAGCAGUGGGGAAUAUUGGACAGUGGGCGAAAGCCUGAUCCAGCCGUGCCGAGUGUGUGAAGAAGGUCUUCGGAUUGUAAAGCACUUUAAGUUGGGAGGAAGGGCAGUAAGUUGAUACCUUGCUGUUUUGACGUUACCAACAGAAUAAGCACCGGCUAACUUCGUG